RNAcentral lists this ribosomal RNA (835 nucleotides) under Candidatus Glomeribacter gigasporarum. RNAcentral describes it as "partial 16S ribosomal RNA". The record is from RNAcentral. Lineage: Bacteria; Pseudomonadati; Pseudomonadota; Betaproteobacteria; Burkholderiales; Burkholderiaceae.
AGGACCGGGAACGUAUUCACCGCGGCAUGCUGAUCCGCGAUUACUAGCGAUUCCAGCUUCAUGCAGUCGAGUUGCAGACUGCAAUCCGGACUACGAUCCGUUUUUCAGGAUUGGCUCCCCCUCGCGGGUUGGCACCCUCUGUACAGACCAUUGUAUGACGUGUGAAGCCCUACCCGUAAGGGCCAUGAGGACUUAACGUCAUCCCCACCUUCCUCCAGUUUGUCACUGGCAGUCUCCUUAGAGUGCCCUUGCGUAGCAACUAAGGAUAAGGGUUGCGCUCGUUGCGGGACUUAACCCAACAUCUCACGACACGAGCUGACGAUAGCCAUGCAGCACCUGUGCGCCGGUUCUCUUGCGAGCACGCCCAAAUCUCUUCAGACUUCCGACCAUGUCAAGGGUAGGUAAGGUUUUUCGCGUUGCAUCGAAUUAAUCCACAUCAUCCACCGCUUGUGCGGGUCCCCGUCAAUUCCUUUAAGUUUUAAUCUUGCGACCGUACUCCCCAGGCGGUCAACUUCAUGCGUUAGCUUCGUUACUAAGGAUAGCAAUCCCCAACAACUAGUUGACAUCGUUUAGGGCGUGGACUACCAGGGUAUCUAAUCNUGUUUGCUCCCCAYGCUUUCGUGCCUCAGCGUCAGUAUUGGCCCAGGAGGCUGCCUUCGCCAUCGGUGUUCCUCCACAUCUCUACGCAUUUCACUGCUACACGUGGAAUUCCACCUUCCCUCUGCCAUACUCUAGCCUGCCARUCACGUAUGCUGUUCCCAGGUNAAGCCCGGGGAUUUCACAUCCGUCUUGACAAACCGCCUACGCACCCUUUACGCCCAGUCAUUCCGAUUAA